GCCGUAGUAGCUCAGGGGAUAGAGCAACCGCCUUCUAAGCGGUCGGUCAUAGGUUCAAAUCCUAUCUACGGCG
Molecule: transfer RNA, 73 nt
Organism: Gloeomargarita lithophora Alchichica-D10
Lineage: Bacteria; Bacillati; Cyanobacteriota; Cyanophyceae; Gloeomargaritales; Gloeomargaritaceae
Rfam family: tRNA
About the family: Transfer RNA (tRNA) molecules are approximately 80 nucleotides in length.
Source: Rfam